This 253-nucleotide ribosomal RNA is filed under the name uncultured bacterium. RNAcentral's name for it is "partial 16S ribosomal RNA". It matches the Rfam family "Bacterial small subunit ribosomal RNA", at positions 524 to 776 of the family's 1533-position model. The record is from RNAcentral.
UACAGAGGGGGCAAGCGUUGUUCGGAAUUACUGGGCGUAAAGGGCGCGUAGGCGGCCACCUAAGUCAGACGUGAAAUCCCUCGGCUCAACCGGGGAACUGCGUCUGAUACUGGGCGGCUUGAAUUCGGGAGAGGAAUGCGGAAUUCCAGGUGUAGCGGUGAAAUGCGUAGAUAUCUGGAGGAACACCGGUGGCGAAGGCGGCAUUCUGGGCCGACAUUGACGCUGAGGCGCGAAAGCCAGGGGAGCAAACGGG